GAUACCCUGGUAGUCCACGCCGUAAACGAUGAGUGCUAAGUGUUAGGGGGUUUCCGCCCCUUAGUGCUGCAGCUAACGCAUUAAGCACUCCGCCUGGGGAGUACGGUCGCAAGACUGAAACUCAAAGGAAUUGACGGGGGCCCGCACAAGCGGUGGAGCAUGUGGUUUAAUUCGAAGCAACGCGAAGAACCUUACCAGGUCUUGACAUCCUCUGACAAUCCUAGAGAUAGGACGUCCCCUUCGGGGGCAGAGUGACAGGUGGUGCAUGGUUGUCGUCAGCUCGUGUCGUGAGAUGUUGGGUUAAGUCCCGCAACGAGCGCAACCCUUGAUCUUAGUUGCCAGCAUUCAGUUGGGCACUCUAAGGUGACUGCCGGUGACAAACCGGAGGAAGGUGGGGAUGACGUCAAAUCAUCAUGCCCCUUAUGACCUGGGCUACACACGUGCUACAAUGGAAAGAACAAAGGGCAGCGAAACCGCGAGGUUAAGCCAAUCCCAAAAAUUUUGUUCUCAGUUCGGAUCGCAGUCUGCAACUCGACUGCGUGAAAGCUGGAAUCGCUAGUAAUCGCGGAUCAGCAUGCCGCGGUGAAAUACGUUCCCGGGCCUUGUACACACCGCCCGUCACACCACGAGAGUUUGUAAC
RNAcentral lists this ribosomal RNA (640 nucleotides) under Bacillus amyloliquefaciens. RNAcentral's name for it is "bacterial SSU rRNA". It matches the Rfam family "Bacterial small subunit ribosomal RNA", at positions 781 to 1418 of the family's 1533-position model. Lineage: Bacteria; Bacillati; Bacillota; Bacilli; Caryophanales; Bacillaceae. The record is from RNAcentral.